CAGUAGCCACGGUAAUACGGAGGGUGCAAGCGUUAAUCGGAAUUACUGGGCGUAAAGCGUGCGUAGGCGGUUCGUUAAGUCUGUUGUGAAAGCCCCGGGCUCAACCUGGGAAUGGCAAUGGAUACUGGCGAGCUAGAGUGUGUCAGAGGAUGGUGGUAUUCCCGGUGUAGCGGUGAAAUGCGUAGAGAUCGGGAGGAACAUCAGUGGCGAAGGCGGCCAUCUGGGACAACACUGACGCUGAGGCACGAAAGCGUGGGGAGCAAACAGGAUUAGAUACCCCGGUAGUCCCUGUCUCUUAUAA
This 301-nucleotide ribosomal RNA is filed under the name uncultured bacterium. RNAcentral's name for it is "partial 16S ribosomal RNA". It matches the Rfam family "Bacterial small subunit ribosomal RNA", at positions 509 to 809 of the family's 1533-position model. The record is from RNAcentral.